AUAUUGCAACAGUUUAUAUUUUUAUGUUGUAUUGUCUAUUUCAGUAUUUUGAUAAUUUCUGCGCCGAGAAAUAAUUUUAUCGUGAAAGAACCAAUCAUCCUCUUCUAUAUUUUUCUCGACAGGUUAAUCCAAAUGAGCAGGUCAACCAUCACUUCAUAGCAUUCAUAGAGAAAGAUGGUGAACUGUACGAAUUAGAUGGAAGAAAGGAAUUUCCAAUUAACCAUGGCCCUACUACAAAAGAUACAUUUGUAGAAGAUGCUGCAAGAGUUUGUAAAGCAUUCAUCGAGAGAGACUCUGAAGACAUCAAUUUCACCAUAAUGGCUCUGGUCGAAGCUGACUUUUAGGAAUGCAUCUGAAAUCUCAGUUUGGAAAGCUUAAUGCUUAAUCAGGUUUUUUUUUAUGAUGAAUUCGUUAAUUUAUUUUUAGAAAGAUAUUUCUAUUUCACUAUGUGAGCUCGGCUUUAUGCAUGCCUUGCUUCUUUUGACUAUGCUUUAAAUUCUUUGAUAGACUUAUAUAAACACGAACAACAUGUGAUAUGCAUAAUGGAACCAAAUAAAUUAUUGUCACUUUCAGUAA
Long non-coding RNA from Leptinotarsa decemlineata (Colorado potato beetle), 576 nucleotides. The record is from RefSeq and is a predicted model, not a curated record. NCBI's taxonomy places the organism in Eukaryota, Metazoa, Arthropoda, Insecta, Coleoptera, Chrysomelidae.